GUAAUUGAAUAGAAGACAAGUCGGACGCCCAGUCGUCCGAGGGAAGUGGGUUUGAAUCCCACGCGGUCCCGCCGCUGUAUUGAAGGAGUUCCUGUGCAUACCACUGAGUUGAUCUUGGGAAGGGCAUGGUGAAUGAUGAGAGCUAAGCCAGAAUACCACCUUGUUUUCGUGUCAUACA
Molecule: non-coding RNA, 178 nt
Filed under: unidentified
Source: RNAcentral